AACGAACGCUGGCGGCAGGCCUAACACAUGCAAGUCGAGCGAGGACUUCGGUCCUAGCGGCGGACGGGUGAGUAACGCGUGGGAACGUGCCCUUUGCUUCGGAAUAGCCCUGGGAAACUGGGAGUAAUACCGGAUGAGCCCUUUGGGGGAAAGAUUUAUCGGCGAAGGAUCGGCCCGCGUUGGAUUAGGUAGUUGGUGGGGUAAUGGCCUACCAAGCCGACGAUCCAUAGCUGGUUUGAGAGGAUGAUCCGCCACACUUGGGCUGAGACACGGGCCAGAACCCUACGGGGGGGAGGAGGAGGGAACACUAGAAAAUGGGGGAAAACCUGAUAUAGCCAUGCCGCGUGAGCGAUGAAGGCCUUAGGGUUGUAAAGCUCUUUCAGCUGGGAAGAGAAUGACGGUACCAGCAGAAGAAGCACCGGCUAACUCCGUG
This 433-nucleotide ribosomal RNA is filed under the name uncultured bacterium. RNAcentral's name for it is "partial 16S ribosomal RNA". It matches the Rfam family "Bacterial small subunit ribosomal RNA", at positions 29 to 507 of the family's 1533-position model. The record is from RNAcentral.